CCUACGGGAGGCAGCAGUGAGGAAUAUUGGUCAAUGGGCGCAGGCCUGAACCAGCCAAGUAGCGUGAAGGAUGACUGCCCUAUGGGUUGUAAACUUCUUUUAUAAAGGAAUAAAGUCGGGUAUGUAUACCCGUUUGCAUGUACUUUAUGAAUAAGGAUCGGCUAACUCCGUGCCAGCAGCCGCGGUAAUACGGAGGAUCCGAGCGUUAUCCGGAUUUAUUGGGUUUAAAGGGAGCGCAGACGGGUCGUUAAGUCAGCUGUGAAAGUUUGGGGCUCAACCUUAAAAUUGCAGUUGAUACUGGCGUCCUUGAGUGCGGUUGAGGUGUGCGGAAUUCGUGGUGUAGCGGUGAAAUGCUUAGAUAUCACGAAGAACUCCGAUUGCGAAGGCAGCCUGCUAAGCUGCAACUGACAUUGAGGCUCGAAAG
RNAcentral lists this ribosomal RNA (424 nucleotides) under uncultured Bacteroides sp. RNAcentral's name for it is "bacterial SSU rRNA". It matches the Rfam family "Bacterial small subunit ribosomal RNA", at positions 338 to 759 of the family's 1533-position model. The record is from RNAcentral. Lineage: Bacteria; Pseudomonadati; Bacteroidota; Bacteroidia; Bacteroidales; Bacteroidaceae.